GACGAACGCUGGCGGCGUGCUUAACACAUGCAAGUCGAACGGAAAGGCCUGCUUUUGUGGGGUGCUCGAGUGGCGAACGGGUGAGUAACACGUGAGCAACCUGCCCUUGACUUUGGGAUAACUUCAGGAAACUGGGGCUAAUACCGGAUAGGAGCUCCUGCUGCAUGGUGGGGGUUGGAAAGUUUCGGCGGUUGGGGAUGGACUCGCGGCUUAUCAGCUUGUUGGUGGGGUAGUGGCUUACCAAGGCUUUGACGGGUAGCCGGCCUGAGAGGGUGACCGGCCACAUUGGGACUGAGAUACGGCCCAGACUCCUACGGGAGGCAGCAGUGGGGAAUAUUGCACAAUGGGCGGAAGCCUGAUGCAGCAACGCCGCGUGCGGGAUGACGGCCUUCGGGUUGUAAACCGCUUUCGCCUGUGACGAAGCGUGAGUGACGGUAAUGGGUAAAGAAGCACCGGCUAACUACGUG
Molecule: ribosomal RNA, 467 nt
Filed under: uncultured bacterium
Lineage: Bacteria
Description: partial 16S ribosomal RNA
Rfam family: Bacterial small subunit ribosomal RNA
Source: RNAcentral